This 163-nucleotide ribosomal RNA is filed under the name uncultured bacterium WB8. RNAcentral describes it as "partial 16S ribosomal RNA". It matches the Rfam family "Bacterial small subunit ribosomal RNA", at positions 338 to 494 of the family's 1533-position model. The record is from RNAcentral.
CCUACGGGAGGCAGCAGUGGGGAAUAUUGGACAAUGGGCGAAAGCCUGAUCCAGCCAUGCCGCGUGUGUGAAGAAGGUCUUCGGAUUGUAAAGCACUUUAAGUUGGGAGGAAGGGCAUUUACNUAAUACGUAGUGUUUUGACGUUACCGACAGAAUAAGCCCG